AUUAUCUCCACAGAGUGGUCUAAUCUGUUAAGCUGAUGUAUCAUCUUGGACUCAUGAUAGCUGAAAACCUGCACAAUACUUCACCACAUAAUGUAUUCAUACCCUAUAGUGAUUGUGAAGUUAGAGUUGGACACAAGAUCGCAAGAAAGCAAAAGGUUCAUGUGGUUGCCAACAGGGAAACUGGGAGCAAGAGGAUUAAGGGAUACUGCAGCAGAAACCUUUCCUGAGAUCUACCUUCCUUGGCCUCAUCUGAAAUAUUUUUCCUGUUAUGCCAUUUUGCUUUGAAAAAUAAAAAGCACUGUAGCUUGAAUCAAAGUAUAUCACAGACCAGAUGCUCUGCAGAUGUAAAUCAAGAGGGAUUCCGUGGCAUCUGAGGAGCAGUAUUGGUUUAUUAAUCAAUAUAUCAACUGGAGAUCUGUCACUUUAUAUGUAGAGAUACAUUCAUACAUAAAAGAGCUAUAGAAGGUAUGUUCAUUGAAUUGUCAAGUUCCUGACACUUGGAAAGGAGAACUGAUAGAUGAGGUACAAGUGUCCAGGUGAUUUCAUGGAACGGCACUUUUAUUUUACAAUUGACAGCAGAGAGAAACAAAUUCAGCAAAGACUCUGCUCCAGAAGUUUAAUCCUGACAAGAAAUGUGUGAAUAUAUUACAUUAUGUGUGCAUGCACACAAAUGUGUAUUUAGAGUGAGAAUAUGCAUGUGCAUACAUAUGUGCUGUGCAAUGUAUAUAUAAUAUCAAUUACAGUAUCUGCUUCCCUUACAGCUGAGCUGGGAACAUGAACAGGAGCAGAAAAUGUGUGAAAACAGCUGUCUCCAAAGAAUCCCUCUCCUCUCCUGACUGCAGGUUGCCAGUGUUUCCUAGAGACUGCACAAGCUACAAAGUUGUGCAUUAUUUAAGAGAAAGGCACAUAAAUCCCUCAUGAGGAUUCAACCCGAACGUG
This 939-nucleotide long non-coding RNA is filed under the name Zonotrichia albicollis (white-throated sparrow). Its description in RNAcentral is "lncRNA (ENSZALG00000014522.1)". Lineage: Eukaryota; Metazoa; Chordata; Aves; Passeriformes; Passerellidae. The record is from RNAcentral.